CGCCUGACAACCAUAGCAAGGUGGUCCCACUCCUUCCCAUCCCGAACAGGACAGUGAAACGCCUUUGCGCCGAUGAUAGUGGACGGACGUCCGUGAAAGUAGGUCAUUGUCAGGCUU
This 117-nucleotide ribosomal RNA is filed under the name Achromobacter xylosoxidans A8. Lineage: Bacteria; Pseudomonadati; Pseudomonadota; Betaproteobacteria; Burkholderiales; Alcaligenaceae. The record is from RNAcentral.